CUUUUAAUUUGUGGCUUCAAGGUUCUUGGCUGGACACAUGGUUGUAUUUUUGGAGUGUAGGCUUGAGGUCUGAUGGGGUUAGGUUCGUGGUUAGGUUUUUAGGUGUGGGCUUGAGGCCUGAUGAGGCUAGUUUUGGAAGGUUUUUGGCUUAACAAGUGAUUGGGUUUUUGGGGCGUAGGCUUAAGCUCUGAUAAAGUUGAGUUCGUGGUUAGGAUUUUGGGAUGUGGGCUUAAGGUUUGAUGGGGCUGGGUUUGGACUAGAAUUUUUUUCUCUAUUUUAGAUUGUUCUUUGACUUUGUGUGGGACACGUGACCUAUUGAAUUUGUUAAGCGUCACAUGUUUCCAAAUUCUUCUUCAUUUUUUGCCUCUUUCUUUUCUACCAUUAGCUUGAGUAUUUUAUCUAAAGUUAUAUUUUGUCAUUAGGCGUGCGUUUUUGUAUCGAAGCACCAUUACAAAUACCACUAUGAUAGCUACAAUAAUAACAAUUAUAUAUUUUGUACAUGUCAAUGUACACCAACA
RNAcentral lists this long non-coding RNA (518 nucleotides) under Theobroma cacao (cacao). RNAcentral describes it as "long non-coding RNA (TCAC_LNC000179)". The record is from RNAcentral. Lineage: Eukaryota; Viridiplantae; Streptophyta; Magnoliopsida; Malvales; Malvaceae.